RNAcentral lists this ribosomal RNA (579 nucleotides) under Epinephelus rivulatus (halfmoon grouper). RNAcentral describes it as "partial 16S ribosomal RNA". It matches the Rfam family "Bacterial large subunit ribosomal RNA", at positions 1832 to 2611 of the family's 2925-position model. Lineage: Eukaryota; Metazoa; Chordata; Actinopteri; Perciformes; Serranidae. The record is from RNAcentral.
UUUAACUGACAGGAUAGAGGUCCGCCUGCCCUGUGACUAUAUGUUUAACGGCCGCGGUAUUUUGACCGUGCGAAGGUAGCGCAAUCACUUGUCUUUUAAAUAGGGACCUGUAUGAAUGGCAUAACGAGGGCUUGACUGUCUCCUCUUUCAAGUCAAUGAAAUUGAUCUCCCCGUGCAGAAGCGGGGAUAAAUACAUAAGACGAGAAGACCCUAUGGAGCUUUAGACACUAAAGCAGAUCAGCAUUAAUACCCCACACACGGGAUUCGAAUAAACUGACCCCUGCCCUAGUGUCUUCGGUUGGGGCGACCGCGGAGAAAUAUAAAACCCCCGCAAGGACUGAAUGUACCACAUUCACAACCAAGAGUGACAGCUCUAAUUAACAGAAUUUCUGACCAAUAAGAUCCGGCAAUGCCGAUCAAUGGACCAAGUUACCCUAGGGAUAACAGCGCAAUCUCCUCUUAGAGCCCAUAUCGACGAGGAGGUUUACGACCUCGAUGUUGGAUCAGGACAUCCUAAUGGUGCAGCCGCUAUUAAGGGUUCGUUUGUUCAACGAUUAAAGUCCUACGUGAAUCUGAGGU